CCUACGGGUGGCAGCAGUGAGGAAUAUUGGUCAAUGGGCGCGAGCCUGAACCAGCCAAGUCGCGUGAAGGAUGACUGCCCUAUGGGUUGUAAACUUCUUUUAUAAAGGAAUAAAGUGAGGCACGUGUGCCGUUUUGUAUGUACUUUAUGAAUAAGGAUCGGCUAACUCCGUGCCAGCAGCCGCGGUAAUACGGAGGAUCCGAGCGUUAUCCGGAUUUAUUGGGGUUAAAGGGAGCGUAGGUGGGUUGUUAAGUUAGUUGUGAAAGUUUGCGGCUCAACCGUAAAAUUGCAGUUGAUACUGGCAGCCUUGAGUACGGGUGAGGUAGGCGGAAUGCGUGGUGUAGCGGUGAAAUGCUUAGAUAUCACGAAGAACUCCGAUUGCGAAGGCAGCUUACUAAACUGCCACUGACAUUGAUGCUCGAAAGUGUGGGUAUCAAACAGGAUUAGAUACCCCUGUAGUC
Molecule: ribosomal RNA, 460 nt
Filed under: uncultured bacterium
Lineage: Bacteria
Description: partial 16S ribosomal RNA
Rfam family: Bacterial small subunit ribosomal RNA
Source: RNAcentral